AUGUACGCCGGCAGUCCACUCUGCGAGUCAGCGAGCGCGCACACACACUCGCACUCGAUCGGCUCUCCACUUUUCCCCACCCGAAACCCUCGCGUCCGCCGCCGCACCAUGCCGCCGCCGCCGCCGGUGCUGCUGGACGAGCUCAUCGAGGAGGUGCUCCUCCGGAUCCCCCCCGACGAGCCCGCCUGCCUCUUCCGCGCCUCCGCCGUCUGCAAGCCCUGGCGCCGCAUCCUCGCCGGCCGGCGCUUUCGCCGCCGCUACCGCGAGUUCCACGGAACACCUCCCAUCCUGGGACUCUUCCAUCAGCGGGUCCGCUUCGUCCCCACCUCCGCCCUCCUCCCCGCCCAUUCCGGCCUCCCCGACUGGUUUGCCAUGGACUGCCGCCACGGCCGCGCCCUCUUCGCCCACAUCGGCGACGACGAGAAGACCCUUGACCUCAUCGUAUUGGACCCUGUGACGGGCCACCAGCGCCGCGUGCCCUGGCCCCAUGACGACUGGGCCAAGUGCAGUGCGGCGGUGCUCUGCGCCGCACAAGGCUGCCACCACCACAGUUGCCAAGACGGCCAUUUCUUUGUGGCCUUCGUCGUGACCAAGAAGAAAAAAGUCUCAUUGGGCUGGCUCUACUCAUCCGAGACGCGCAUGUGGAGCAACCUCAAUUCUCUUCAUCACUCCAAUGUCAAAUUUACCAAUGACUUUGGUGAGUCUAGCGUCCUUCUGGGCGAUGCUCUCUACUUUAACGGUGGUCGCAUCAUGGAGUGCCAACUUGGUACACUCCGCCUGUCAUCGUUCGAGAAGCCGAUCGAUCGUUAUGGGAUUCUCAUGAUAGCGGAGGACGGUGGGCUGGGAUUCGCUGCUGUGGUGGAUGUUACAAAUCUAACCCUUUGGUCGAGGGAGGCCGGACCCGAGGGAGCCAUGGGAUGGACACCACUCAGGGUGAUUGAUCUGAAGAUGCUACUCCCUGAUGUCGACCUCUCCAUCAAAAGUUUCAAAACAACUGAAUAUAUCCCAACAUUUGGAGGUGCGGUUUAUGAGUUUCCCUGUCCACGGGUGAGUGGCUUCGCGGAGGGCACACAUGUCAUUUUUGUUACCACAAGUGUUGGUUCCUACAUGGUCGAUCUCAAGACUGGGCGAGCCAGCAAGGUGUCUGAUCCUGGCAGACUAUUCUUUCCCUUCAUGAGCUUCUACAUCCCAGCAAUGGAAGCAGCUUCUACGGGCGAAGGGCAAUGA
Molecule: ribosomal RNA, 1227 nt
Filed under: Triticum aestivum (bread wheat)
Lineage: Eukaryota; Viridiplantae; Streptophyta; Magnoliopsida; Poales; Poaceae
Description: partial small subunit ribosomal RNA
Source: RNAcentral